AUGAGCAGUUCAGCAGAUCCGCUUGACCACCAUCCGGGCGGCAUCAAUUCCAUAUCGAAUGAAGAAAUAAGAGCCGACGAGUGCGCCGCGGGCAUAGCUCAGAUGUCGGUCAAAGAGGCGCGCGCACUGUCGACAGUAACUGAAGCUGACGAGCUCGAUUCUUCUAAUGGAAGCACAGAGCAGCACGUCUCAACAGUUCUGGACGGAGAUCCUGGUUCGAAAUCAAGAACUCCAAAUCUGAUUGACGUGGAAAGGGAAAAGAGUGGCUGGGUUCGUCGUCACAGACGGCGCUAUGCCUGA
Molecule: ribosomal RNA, 300 nt
Filed under: Triticum aestivum (bread wheat)
Lineage: Eukaryota; Viridiplantae; Streptophyta; Magnoliopsida; Poales; Poaceae
Description: partial small subunit ribosomal RNA
Source: RNAcentral